GGCCGGAAGUGAGCGUUCCGGCAGCGAAGUUCGAACGUGGACUGCUGCGCUGGGUCGCGCUCUGUGGAGCUGGUGGGUGCUCCGCUCGCUUUUGGCCCGGCCUGGUGCUGCAGUCCCGGGAGCCGUCGGAGCGCAGUUUCGGUGUGCGGCGGAGGCCGGGUAGCCCUGGAAAGGGGGCUUGGGGGGCUCGGAGUAGCGCUCCGUGUGUCUGCACUGUGGCAGCGGGACUCACCCGGGCGGGAGCGGCCCUUCCUCGGGCGCCGGGCGGCCUGCAGAGGGGUCGGGCUGCGCUCCGUGCCAGAGCGGCACGCGGCGUGGGCUCUGCUGAGCUGCGGCAGAGGCAAAGCCCUCCUAACAGACAGAGCACUGCUGGGACGCUGUAGCCCUACAGGGAAAGGCUUUCGCUGCCCCCUAAAGCUGUAGUCCAACCCUGCCGCUGCUCUGCGGGAUGAAGCCCUGAAGGGUGUCCUAUACUGUUAAUGUAAGGGAAGUCGGCGUCAUGCAGUGCGUUUUAUUAUUGCUAGGUGAGGGGGGAUGCACCUUGGUGAGGAGAUGUGCAGUGCUGGAGCUGCCACAAGUGUCCCUUCUGCCUCUAAGAAUGUGUCCUAAGCAGGAUGUGAACCUGCUGGCACUUCUUCACUGCAGGUGCUCGUAGGAUCUCCAGUUCUUGCAGAUUUCAGGAUGACAGCGACUAUGAGGAAGUUCUCGUAUACUAUGAAUUACAUGAAACAAUUGGGACGGUUUUUAAAAGUAGCAUCUGCAAGGCCUGCAGGACACCACAGCACCCCACGUUGCUGUCACCUCUUGAGUGAUUUGUGCCACCCAUGACAUGAGUGCUGUGCUUCAGUUACAAAACUGGUCAGAUUUCUUAGCUUGUUUGGUCUGCUACAGUGAUGGCCCAUGGCAGAACUGGAACACUCAUGUACUGCUCUGAUGGAGCACCGGGAUGGAAGACUGUCCUGCAGUGCUGUGCAGUGCUUUCCCUGCUCUUGUUACUUAUCUUUCUCUGAUACAUUCUAAAUACAUUUUCAGACAACUUUA
Gallus gallus (chicken) is the source of this 1041-nucleotide long non-coding RNA. RefSeq lists it as uncharacterized. The record is from RefSeq and is a predicted model, not a curated record. Lineage: Eukaryota; Metazoa; Chordata; Aves; Galliformes; Phasianidae. The transcript is spliced from 2 exons.